CUCUUUGACUCUUUUUACUCCAUCUCCAUUUUUCGGUGAGAUUCGUUCAUUCAUUGUCCAGUAGUCAACAAUGGCAAGUAGUUCUAACACAGAGCUUUCUCCGGUGACUCUGCUGGCGGUCGGUGGGUCUUCUGCAGUGGUGGGGGCCACCGAAUCAGCGGUGGCUGACAGGACCCUGUCGACAGUUGAUAUCCUUUCUCUGCCCAGGGGUCCGGCAACCGACUUCAUGAUGAGGGGGGAUCAGGUUAAUGACGCCCUGUUAAUGGGUGCGGUGGGCCUUGCCCAAUUAAGGAAGCAGUGGGGGAUUCCUCGUUAUGUUGACAUUUC
Molecule: long non-coding RNA, 327 nt
Filed under: Nicotiana benthamiana
Lineage: Eukaryota; Viridiplantae; Streptophyta; Magnoliopsida; Solanales; Solanaceae
Description: long non-coding RNA (NBEN_LNC027749)
Source: RNAcentral